GACGAACGCUGGCGGCGUGCUUAACACAUGCAAGUCGAACGGAAAGGCCCUGCUUUUGUGGGGUGCUCGAGUGGCGAACGGGUGAGUAACACGUGAGUAACCUGCCCUUGACUUUGGGAUAACUUCAGGAAACUGGGGCUAAUACCGGAUAGGAGCUCCUGCUGCAUGGUGUGGGUUGGAAAGUUUCGGCGGUUGGGGAUGGACUCGCGGCUUAUCAGCUUGUUGGUGGGGUAGUGGCUUACCAAGGCUUUGACGGGUAGCCGGCCUGAGAGGGUGACCGGCCACAAUAGGACUGAGAUACGGCCCAGACUCCUAUGGGAGGCAGCAGUGGGGAAUAUUGCACAAUGGGCGGAAGCCUGAUGCAGCAACGCCGCGUGCGGGAUGACGGCCUUCGGGUUGUAAACCGCUUUCGCCUGUGACGAAGCGUGAGUGACGGUAAUGGGUAAAGAAGCACCGGCUAACUACGUG
RNAcentral lists this ribosomal RNA (468 nucleotides) under uncultured bacterium. Its description in RNAcentral is "partial 16S ribosomal RNA". It matches the Rfam family "Bacterial small subunit ribosomal RNA", at positions 28 to 507 of the family's 1533-position model. The record is from RNAcentral.